Doryrhamphus excisus (bluestripe pipefish) is the source of this 783-nucleotide non-coding RNA. The record is from RefSeq and is a predicted model, not a curated record. Lineage: Eukaryota; Metazoa; Chordata; Actinopteri; Syngnathiformes; Syngnathidae.
UGUGAGCCGUACUCGGCCCCCGUCCAGCUCCAGGCGGAGGGUGUCUGCCGAGUUGCGGGAUGUGGUUGCCAUGAGAACGCCGUAGGCCCGCUGGGAGCGGAAGCGCAGCGAGACGUCCUCCGCCUCCGUGUGCAUGGCCAUGGGCAGCUGCACCUUCAUGAACUUGCUGCCGUCGUACGACAAGAUGGUGGCGUCUGCAGGAGGACAGAGAGAGGAAGAGGACGAGGAAGGCACCAACAAGUCAUAUGAGGGAAUGAUGGAGGGUGACCCAACAGAAACGACAGGCAGCAGGCAGACAGGAUUACUGCCUUUCUGCAGGGAGCAGCAAAGCGGUCAAAUUUAGCUCCACACCGCCGUGCCGACAACCCUGUCCAAAACAUGACGCUACCUUUUCUUCAACCUUCGCCUAAUUGGACCGCCCUUUCUUCUUCAUAGCAGGCACAAUGUAAAUAAUGAUCCUAGGCGGUAAUUGUUAUCAGGAGGUGAUAUCGUUUAGGCUUUUUCUUUGUAGCAUUCCCAUUAUUUGGCUUGGGAUUGGCAUUGGAUAUCUCCGACGACCGGGAAUCCAACCUGUGCCAUCUGAAGUGAAUGAGCACCAUGGACGCCACAACCACCAGAGCUGAUUAAGAUGAUACGAGUACUUCACUAACAUAUAUUUGCCUAAUAUUACUGCGACCCCUACCUGAGCGUCCGUCCCUCUGGAAGUCCACGUGGUACCAUUCUCCAUCAUUGACCUUCUUGUCGAUGGCCUUGGUCUUGGUGGUCCCUGAGCCCAUGUCCAGC